This 374-nucleotide ribosomal RNA is filed under the name uncultured bacterium. Its description in RNAcentral is "bacterial SSU rRNA". It matches the Rfam family "Bacterial small subunit ribosomal RNA", at positions 505 to 879 of the family's 1533-position model. The record is from RNAcentral.
GUGUCAGCAGCCGCGGUAAUACGGAGGAUCCAAGCGUUAUCCGGAAUCAUUGGGUUUAAAGGGUCCGUAGGCGGUUUUAUAAGUCAGUGGUGAAAUCCGGUAGCUCAACUAUCGAACGGCCAUUGAUACUGUAGAACUUGAAUUAUUGUGAAGUAACUAGAAUAUGUAGUGUAGCGGUGAAAUGCUUAGAUAUUACAUGGAAUACCAAUUGCGAAGGCAGGUUACUAACAAUAUAUUGACGCUGAUGGACGAAAGCGUGGGGAGCGAACAGGAUUAGAUACCCUGGUAGUCCACGCCGUAAACGAUGGAUACUAGCUGUUUGGUAGCAAUACUGAGUGGCUAAGCGAAAGUGAUAAGUACUCCCACCGUGGGGA